GGGUUGUGAGGUUAAGCGACUAAGCGUACACGGUGGAUGCCCUGGCAGUCAGAGGCGAUGAAGGGCGUGCUAAUCUGCGAUAAGCGCCGGUAAGGUGAUAUGAACCGUUAUAACCGGCGAUACCCGAAUGGGGAAACCCAGUGUGACUCGUCACACUAUCAUUAACUGAAUCCAUAGGUUAAUGAGGCGAACCGGGGGAACUGAAACAUCUAAGUACCCCGAGGAAAAGAAAUCAACCGAGAUUCCCCCAGUAGCGGCGAGCGAACGGGGAGGAGCCCAGAGCCUGAAUCAGCAUGUGUGUUAGUGGAAGCGUCUGGAAAGGCGCGCGAUACAGGGUGACAGCCCCGUACACAAAAGCGCAUGUGCUGUGAGCUCGAUGAGUAGGGCGGGACACGUGGUAUCCUGUCUGAAUAUGGGGGGACCAUCCUCCAAGGCUAAAUACUCCUGACUGACCGAUAGUGAACCAGUACCGUGAGGGAAAGGCGAAAAGAACCCCGGCGAGGGGAGUGAAAAAGAACCUGAAACCGUGUACGUACAAGCAGUGGGAGCACAGGUUUACCUGUGUGACUGCGUACCUUUUGUAUAAUGGGUCAGCGACUUAUAUUCUGUAGCAAGGUUAACCGAAUAGGGGAGCCGGAGGGAAACCGAGUCUUAAUUGGGCGUUAAGUUGCAGGGUAUAGACCCGAAACCCGGUGAUCUAGCCAUGGGCAGGUUGAAGGUUGGGUAACACUAACUGGAGGACCGAACCGACUAAUGUUGAAAAAUUAGCGGAUGACCUGUGGCUGGGGGUGAAAGGCCAAUCAAACCGGGAGAUAGCUGGUUCUCCCCGAAAGCUAUUUAGGUAGCGCCUCGUGAAUUCAUCUCCGGGGGUAGAGCACUGUUUCGGCUAGGGGGCCAUCCCGGCUUACCAACCCGAUGCAAACUGCGAAUACCGGAGAAUGUUAUCACGGGAGACACACGGCGGGUGCUAACGUCCGUCGUGAAGAGGGAAACAACCCAGACCGCCAGCUAAGGUCCCAAAGUCAUGGUUAAGUGGGAAACGAUGUGGGAAGGCCCAGACAGCCAGGAUGUUGGCUUAGAAGCAGCCAUCAUUUAAAGAAAGCGUAAUAGCUCACUGGUCGAGUCGGCCUGCGCGGAAGAUGUAACGGGGCUAAACCAUGCACCGAAGCUGCGGCAGCGACACUGU
RNAcentral lists this ribosomal RNA (1186 nucleotides) under Salmonella enterica subsp. enterica serovar Enteritidis. Its description in RNAcentral is "partial 23S ribosomal RNA". It matches the Rfam family "Bacterial large subunit ribosomal RNA", at positions 1 to 1217 of the family's 2925-position model. The record is from RNAcentral. Lineage: Bacteria; Pseudomonadati; Pseudomonadota; Gammaproteobacteria; Enterobacterales; Enterobacteriaceae.